UGCCAGCAGCCGCGGUAAGACGGAGGGGGCUAGCGUUGUUCAGAAUUACUGGGCGUAAAGCGCGCGUAGGCGGCCUGUCGAGUCGGGCGUGAAAGCCCGGGGCUCGACCCCGGAGGUGCGUUCGAGACUGGUGGGCUGGAGUCCGGGAGAGGGGAGUGGAAUUCCCAGUGUAGAGGUGAAAUUCGUAGAUAUUGGGAAGAACACCAGUGGCGAAGGCGGCUCCCUGGCCCGGGACUGACGCUGAGGCGCGUAGGCGCGGAGAGCUUACAGGGGUAGAUG
This 279-nucleotide ribosomal RNA is filed under the name uncultured bacterium. Its description in RNAcentral is "partial 16S ribosomal RNA". It matches the Rfam family "Bacterial small subunit ribosomal RNA", at positions 506 to 784 of the family's 1533-position model. The record is from RNAcentral.